CGGAAAUCACAUUAUUAACAACAAAUCUUUUCAAAUACACACAAACUACGACUACCAAUUUCUAGUGCUAAGCAUAUCAGGAACAAAAUAAAGCAUAACAAUCAGAGUACUCCAAGUUCUAAUACACAAAAUACUGAAAUUUAAGCAAAUAUAAGUAAAGAAUCUUCAAGCAGAAACCCCUAAAUCUGACCAAGAUAUACAAAAUAUAUUCAUAUACAUGUGUAAUAACAACAAUAAU
This 238-nucleotide long non-coding RNA is filed under the name Panax ginseng (ginseng). RNAcentral describes it as "long non-coding RNA (PGIN_LNC002385)". Lineage: Eukaryota; Viridiplantae; Streptophyta; Magnoliopsida; Apiales; Araliaceae. The record is from RNAcentral.